UUAAAAGAAGUGGAGAAAGACGUUUCAGUUAAACAAGAGGAAGAAGAGGAUGAUGCUGUUUUUGGAGUGAAGAAGGAAGGGGAGAUUACUGUCACAUUGAAAGAUGAAGAGGGGGAGAUAGGAGAUCUGAGUAACACCAGAGAGAGACCAGACUUUCCCUUUGACAGACGGAAGAGUCCUUCAGGGGAACCAGACCCAGAGACUCCCAAACCAGUGACACGACAUCACUGUUCCCUGUGUGAAGGGGUUUUACCAAGUUAGGGAACCUAAAAGAGCAUGAGAAAAAACACACAGGAGAAAAGCCUUUCCAAUGCUCCCAGUGUGGAAAGAGAUUUUCACGAACUCAUGAACUAAUAUUACAUGAAAGGACACACACGGGAAAAACCACACUAUUGCUCCCAGUGUGGAAAGAGUUUUGCGCAGUUAGGGAACCUAAAAAAACACAAGAGAGUACACUCUGGAGAGAAGCCUUACCCCUGUUCCCAUUGUGGAAAAUAUUUUAGGCUGUCAGAACACUUAAAAUCACAUGAGAGGACACACACAGGGGAAAAAACACACACUUGCUACCAGUGUGGAAAGAGUUUUUCUCAUUUAGGGAACCUAAAAAAAUCAUAAGAGAAUACACACUGGAGAGAAACCUUACCCCUGUUCCCAUUGUGGAAAGAAUUUUAGGUUAUUACAAAACUUAAAAUCACAUGAGAGGACACAGGGGAAAAACCACACAAUUGCAUCCAGUGUGGAAAGAGUUUUUCCCAUUUAGGGAACCUGAACAAACAUAAGAAAAUACACUCUGGAGAGAAGCCUUACCCCUGUUCUCGUUGUGGAAAGAAUUUUACAUUGUCAGAAAGCUUAAAGUCACAUGAGAGGACACACACAGGGGAAAAAACCACACAAUUGCUCCCAGUGUGGAAAGAGUUUCCCAUUCAGAGACCCUGAAUCAACAUAAGAGAAUACACUCUCGAGAGAAGCCUUACCGCUGUUCCCAAUGUGGAAAGAGUUUUGCAUUGACAGAUAACCUGAAGGAGCAUGAGAGGCCACACACAGGAGAAAAGCCUUACCAAUGCUCCCAGUGUGGAAAGAGAUUUUCAAGAACACCAGAUCUUAAGAAGCAUGAACGGACACACACAGGAGAAAAUCCUUACCACUGCUCCCAGUGUGGAAAGAGUUUUACUGACUUAGCCUGAACAUACAUAAGAUAAUACACUCUAAAGAGAAACCGUACCAUUGUUCCCAGUGUGGAAAGAGUUUUACUAAGCUAGGGAACCUGAAAAGGCAUGUGGACAUACACACAUAGGGGAGGAUAAGCUCCCAGUUUGGAAAGAUUUUUAGUUAGGGAACCUAAUUGUGGAAAUACAUUUUCCCCGGACAGAGGACCUGAAAUCACAUGACAGAAUAGACAGGCUGUGUUCUGACUUAUGUUUGACUGUUGUUUUAUGGCACAUUAAAUCAUAUUGUUUACAUGAAAUUUAACUCAAAAAUAGGCCUCUACUUUUGUUUUAGUUUUUUCCUCUGGAGACAUGAUAACUCAAUGCCUAGGUUUACCUCCACUGUUCCCGCACCCUACCAUACCCCUGUCUGUACCUUAUGCCUUGAAUCUAUCCUACCACGCCCAGAAAUCUGCUCCUUUUAUUCUCUGUUCACAACGCACUAGAAGAUCAGAUCUGAUAGCCUUUAGCCGUACCCUCAUCCUACUCCUCCUGUUCCUCGGGUGACGUAGAGGUUAAGCCCUGUGUGUCCCCAGGCGCUCUCAUGUGUUGACUUCUGUAACCGUAAAAGCC
Molecule: non-coding RNA, 1778 nt
Organism: Salmo salar (Atlantic salmon)
Lineage: Eukaryota; Metazoa; Chordata; Actinopteri; Salmoniformes; Salmonidae
Source: RefSeq, a predicted model, not a curated record